RNAcentral lists this ribosomal RNA (440 nucleotides) under uncultured bacterium. Its description in RNAcentral is "partial 16S ribosomal RNA". It matches the Rfam family "Bacterial small subunit ribosomal RNA", at positions 338 to 795 of the family's 1533-position model. The record is from RNAcentral.
CCUACGGGAGGCAGCAGUGGGGAAUAUUGCACAAUGGGGGCAACCCUGAUGCAGCGACGCCGCGUGAGUGAAGACGUAAUUCGUUAUGUAAAGCUCUAUCACCAGGGAAGAAAAUGACGGUACCUGAGUAAGAAGCCACGGCUAACUACGUGCCCGCAGCCGCGGUAAUACGUAGGGGGCAAGCGUUAUCCGGAUUUACUGGGUGUAAAGGGAACGUAGGCGGCAUUGCAAGUCUGGAGUGAAAGUCGGGGGCUCAACCCCCGGACUGCUCUGGAAACUGUACGUCUGGAGUGAAGGAGAGGUAAGUGGAAUUCUUAGUGUAGCGGUGAAAUGCGUAGAUAUCAGGAGGAACACCAGUGGCGAAGGCGGCUUACUGGACUGUAACUGACGUUGAGGCUCGAAAGCGUGGGGAGCAAACAGGAUUAGAUACCCCUGUAGUC